CAAACACAGCCCUAAAACUGGACAGCUUUUGUGCCUGAGACAUCCAAAGAGCUCUGCAGCUUCAACAAAAUGGGAUGAGGUUCAUCUUCCUUAAAGAUCCCUCUCCUGAAGCAAUAUUAAGCAGAGAUACCAGACUUCUUUUUGAAGCUCCUUUUCCUCCUACGUGAACUGGACCCCACAGGAUUUCUGAGAAGCAGCAGCAGCAGAGGCUGGCUGAGAGGGAAAAGAUGCUUGGUCUGACAAGGCAGGACAGAGCAGCAGUCUCAAAGACCACGUUGCAGGGAUGUUCAAGUGAAGUACAGAAGCGACUCUGAAGUGCUGUGUUCAGGCUCUGGGUCCUGCGAUCCCCUAAGCCAGACAGCAUUCAUGCCCACACUUGGUUGAUGUAAUUGUUGUGAGCCAGGCAAGUACUUUUAGUGUGAAGUCUGGGGCUGUCAACAGGUUGCAAAUAGACAAGUAAGUUCUCCAUAGUUGUGGUCAGAGAUUUCUGCUGCUCUUAGAGAUCAAGUCUACCCUUAGUAAAGUGCUGCAAAAAGGGUCAAGUUCCUAAAGAAGUAAAAACCUGAGAACUGAGUCAUUGCCCAUUGCAAAGACAAGUAACAUCACUCUAAAUUUUUAUUAGGAGAAACACUUAAUAGAAUCAUUUAGGAUUGAAAAGACCCUUAAAAUCCAACACAUAUUGCCUUCUUUUUUACCUUUAAAGGACGAAAUUGACACAAACACAUUUAUUUCAUUGAAUUAGCAUAAAUUGUGGGCUUCUCUAAUUUUGCCAGCCAGGAGUCUCACAAGAGAGUAACACCCAGAGUACACCCAGUAAGAUUUCCAAACCACUGCUCUUAGGUUUGAAAUUUUGUGAGAAUAGCCUUUUCCCUGGCAUUUUGGUGCUCUUUCUUCAAGUGAAAAAUGGAAACACAGAGGGCUCAA
Corvus hawaiiensis (hawaiian crow) is the source of this 924-nucleotide long non-coding RNA. RefSeq lists it as uncharacterized. The record is from RefSeq and is a predicted model, not a curated record. NCBI's taxonomy places the organism in Eukaryota, Metazoa, Chordata, Aves, Passeriformes, Corvidae. The transcript is spliced from 4 exons.